GUGCUUACUUCGGCAGCACAUGUACUAAAAUUGGAACAAUACAGAGAAGAUUAGCUUGGUCCCUGUGCAAGGAUGACACACAAAUAUAUUUCU
Molecule: small nuclear RNA, 93 nt
Filed under: Canis lupus familiaris (dog)
Lineage: Eukaryota; Metazoa; Chordata; Mammalia; Carnivora; Canidae
Source: RNAcentral